This 301-nucleotide ribosomal RNA is filed under the name uncultured bacterium. Its description in RNAcentral is "partial 16S ribosomal RNA". It matches the Rfam family "Bacterial small subunit ribosomal RNA", at positions 509 to 807 of the family's 1533-position model. The record is from RNAcentral.
CAGUCGCCACGGGAAAACGGAGGGGGCUAGCGUUGUUCGGAAUUACUGGGCGUAAAGCGUACGUAGGCGGCUUGGUAAGUUAGAGGUGAAAGCCCAGGGCUCAACCCUGGAAUUGCCUUUAAGACUGCCGAGCUAGUAGGUGAGAGAGGUAAGUGGAAUUCCGAGUGUAGAGGUGAAGUUCGUAGAUAUUCGGAAGAACACCAGUGGCGAAGGCGGCUUACUGGCCCAUUCUAGACGCUGAGGUGCGAAAGCGUGGGGAGCAAACAGGAUUAGAUACCCCAGUAGUCCCUGUCUCUUAUAC